CUACGGGCGGCACCAGGCGCGAAACCUUUACAAUGCACGAAAGUGUGAUAAGGGAAUCCCUAGUGCUUAUACUCUGUAUAAGCUUUUUUCAAGGAUAAAUACCUUGGAGAAUAAGUGGUGGGCAAGACUGGUGCCAGCCGCCGCGGUAACACCAGCGCCACAAGUGGGGGUCGCAUUUAUUGGGCCUAAAGCGUCCGUAGCUGGUCAAAUAAAUCUCUUGUGAAAUCGUGGAGCUUAACUUCACGGCGUGCAGGAGACACUAUUCGACUUGGAACUGGGAGAAGUCAGAGGUAUUUUGGGGGGAGCGGUAAAAUGUUAUAAUCCCUGAAGGACCACCGAUAGCGAAGGCGUCUGACUAGAACGGAUUCGACAGUGAGGGACGAAAGCCAGGGGAGCGAACCGGAUUAGAUACCCGCGUAGUC
RNAcentral lists this ribosomal RNA (422 nucleotides) under uncultured archaeon. RNAcentral's name for it is "partial 16S ribosomal RNA". It matches the Rfam family "Archaeal small subunit ribosomal RNA", at positions 323 to 746 of the family's 1478-position model. The record is from RNAcentral.